This is a non-coding RNA of Cebus imitator (Panamanian white-faced capuchin), 188 nucleotides long. The record is from Ensembl. NCBI's taxonomy places the organism in Eukaryota, Metazoa, Chordata, Mammalia, Primates, Cebidae.
AUGGUCUGUGGAAAGUCUCCUCUGUUGUUGAACUUGUCCAGUUGUGAGUGCAGCCAUGUACCAGGCAGCCCAAGCCUAACAUAAAAUAAAUUCCCAGGAGAAGUCUUUCCUGGGUUUUGAAUUUGCAGUAAUAGGUGUGAGAAUUCUAGCAGCAGUUUGUUGAUGUGAAAUUAGAAAUGAAAGCUAAA